UACAGAGGUCUCAAGCGUUAAUCGGAAUUACUGGGCGUAAAGCGCGCGUAGGCGGUUUGUUAAGUCAGCUGUGAAAGCCCCGGGCUCAACCUGGGAACUGCAGUUGAUACUGUCCGACUAGAGUACGAGAGAGGGAGGUAGAAUUCCAUGUGUAGCGGUGAAAUGCGUAGAUAUAUGGAGGAAUACCAGUGGCGAAGGCGGCCUCCUGGCUCGAUACUGACGCUGAGGUGCGAAAGCAUGGGGAUCAAACAGG
RNAcentral lists this ribosomal RNA (253 nucleotides) under uncultured bacterium. RNAcentral's name for it is "partial 16S ribosomal RNA". It matches the Rfam family "Bacterial small subunit ribosomal RNA", at positions 524 to 776 of the family's 1533-position model. The record is from RNAcentral.